CCGGAUAAAUCCUGUGUGCAUUGAUAGAAAGUGAAAUGAUUUUAUUCAUAAGAUCUACCAUAUCUAGCACCAGGGUAUAUCGGGAU
Molecule: microRNA precursor, 86 nt
Filed under: Schmidtea mediterranea
Lineage: Eukaryota; Metazoa; Platyhelminthes; Tricladida; Dugesiidae
Description: Sme-Mir-29-o2_pre stem-loop
Source: RNAcentral